Molecule: ribosomal RNA, 278 nt
Filed under: Escherichia coli
Lineage: Bacteria; Pseudomonadati; Pseudomonadota; Gammaproteobacteria; Enterobacterales; Enterobacteriaceae
Description: partial 23S ribosomal RNA
Rfam family: Bacterial large subunit ribosomal RNA
Source: RNAcentral
GGGUUGUGAGGUUAAGCGACUAAGCGUACACGGUGGAUGCCCUGGCAGUCAGAGGCGAUGAAGGACGUGCUAAUCUGCGAUAAGCGUCGGUAAGGUGAUAUGAACCGUUAUAACCGGCGAUUUCCGAAUGGGGAAACCCAGUGUGUUUCGACACACUAUCAUUAACUGAAUCCAUAGGUUAAUGAGGCGAACCGGGGGAACUGAAACAUCUAAGUACCCCGAGGAAAAGAAAUCAACCGAGAUUCCCCCAGUAGCGGCGAGCGAACGGGGAGCAGCCC